Macadamia integrifolia is the source of this 2102-nucleotide RNA transcript. RefSeq lists it as uncharacterized. The record is from RefSeq and is a predicted model, not a curated record. NCBI's taxonomy places the organism in Eukaryota, Viridiplantae, Streptophyta, Magnoliopsida, Proteales, Proteaceae. The transcript has 4 exons.
AGUGUGAUGCAAACUUUACGAGAUGAUGGCCAAGGGUUGAUGAAAUUUUCUAGUUCUAAUUGGUGCAGAUUAAUAUCCUCUAGGUUCAAUCCGGUAGCUUGGAUUAUGUUAGGGUAGCUAGCUUUGGAUGAAUGAUAAAAAUGAGACUUUCGUUUCAAUUUUAGUUGGUUUGCAGUUUCUAUACCUCAAGUCCCCUUUCCCACCUUCCCUCAACACCAUUUUUACCCAUUUUAUCCUCUGAAUGUAAAGACAGGAUGUCCUUGCUUAUCUUAAGGCUCAGUUUGAUCUUGAGAGACCAAACAAGGAGGUAUUGCUUGAUUUGCAGUUGCUAAGGAAGUUUAAGAUGCAUGCGUAUCAUGGGAAUUGCAUCUUCCAUCUUUAUUCUUCAAUUCCCUCAACCAUUUGGAUCUAGUCCUCCUCAAGUUUUUGAGUUUGAUAUCUGUUAAGAUGCUGGAAUGGGUUACCUUUGAAGGAAUUUGAUCUGCUGGUGGGACUACUGAUUAUUGCCAAGUUAAACAAAAAACAGAGCAAUUUGUGGCUGUUUGAACUCUCAUGAUCCAAACUGUGCCGGAAGGAAGGGGGAGAGAUCUUUAUAACCUUGUUGGCGGAAAUUUAAACUCAGUUUGCGUCCUCACAAGCAACAGGAAUCCCCCUCUAACAUAGGCACGCCGACAAAGAUCAGAUGCCAGGGAUUGAUAACCUGUACACCCCUUUAGAAUCACAGCCCAAACUCAUGCUCGAGAUACCUCUGAUUGAGAUACAGAGAGCAGCUGACUUGGCAGCCACCGUUUGCUCUUUCUUUGAACUCUCACUCCAGUACUUUGAAACACUAAGAUCACAUCAGCUGCUUGAGCAAAUGGUGUGCACUCCUUCAAAGAUUCUGCUGAGACUCUAAAUCAGACCUCCUUUGGUGGUUUAAAACAGAUGACGAACAAAAUAAAAAAGCUGUACCUAACAAUAGCAUCCAUUUUGAAGCCUUUGCAAGGAGUUCAAUCUGAAACAACAGGUAUGGAUGUACGAGAGACAGGCUGUGUUGAGCAUGUAUACACCACCCUCUGCCAACCAGUCAUGGAGAAAAGCUCUAAGCAUGGGCAAUCACCUUAAAGGUCAUAAGGCGGUUGUAAGGGAAAUCAUCUUUUCCAUGCAGGAUAGCAUGACCCAUGAUCAUCAGGGGAUUGCCGGAGCCCCCACAAGGAUAUUGAAACACAUCGAAUGUACUUAUGUGGAACAUCCAAUAAUCUUCUGGAUAUAAGCAUAAAGGAGGGAGAGUGAAGGAAGAAUCCAAUCUUCAAUUGUUGCAAUAGUAUGCCAGAGAAACUUACUUACCAGCUGUGGUAAUUGGCACCUUUGAUGGAGGUGAUGCUCGUGAAUGAAUAUCUCAUGCAGAUAAUUUUGGAGUUCAACGUAUCCUUUUCUUCAUUCAGAAUCAAGGCAACACUUUUUGACCUCUAUGGUUACAGGUAUGGCACUUUAAGAGGUGCAGAAGAGUUAGUAGUCAUCACAUGGAAAGUUUAGAAUGUUCGUUGGAUCUUCAACCUUGCUGCUGGAAGGUCAAAAAAUCAACUACAACAAGAGUGGCAUACUCAGUGAAUACACAGGACCCAGGGAUUCUAUGGGGAAUAAGCCCAUUCAAAGAAAAGAAAAAAAAAAAUUUUGAACUCACUCCCCUUCCUUAUUGCUUAUUACUCCUUAUUGCAUAUUGCUCGUACACACUUCCCGGUAACCCUUUGGCUGAUUUUUCUUGGAUUAAUGCUGAUUUUCAAGGAAUAUUACUUGGAGCCUUUGUCUCUCUACCAGUGGUUCCGAUGAGAGGGUUUUGGUGGAGAAUCCUAUCGCAUCUGAACACUGUGCCCACUCUCUAAUCUCUACUCCCUGAUGGUUCUCAGCAGCUCUGAAGUAAUAUUUUGUUCUCUGUGCUUUUAAAUGGAUAAUGGGACCCUUUUCUCUAUAUUACUUAGUAUAAAUGAAAGGGAUAAUAGAGUUCAUGAGGUGAAAGCGGCUAGAUAUGUCCCUCUUGUUUCUCAAAAUUUAUUCUAGAUAGUUUUGUAUUUUGUGAAUCUAAUAUGUAUGAGUGCAGGAAUGUUAGAAGAGAUUUUGGAGGA